UACAGAGGUCUCAAGCGUUGUUCGGAUUCAUUGGGCGUAAGGGGUGCGUAGGCGGCGCGGUAAGUCGGGUGUGAAAUCUCGGAGCUUAACUCCGAAACUGCAUUCGAUACUGCCGUGCUUGAGGACUGGAGAGGAGACUGGAAUUUACGGUGUAGCGGUGAAAUGCGUAGAUAUCGUAAGGAAGACCAGUGGCGAAGGCGGGUCUCUGGACAGUUCCUGACGCUGAGGCACGAAGGUCAGGGGAGCGAACAGG
This 253-nucleotide ribosomal RNA is filed under the name uncultured bacterium. RNAcentral's name for it is "partial 16S ribosomal RNA". It matches the Rfam family "Bacterial small subunit ribosomal RNA", at positions 524 to 776 of the family's 1533-position model. The record is from RNAcentral.